ACUUAUAGAUGGACCUGCGCCGUAUUAGCUAGUUGGUAAGGUAACGGCUUACCAAGGCAACGAUACGUAGCCGACCUGAGAGGGUGAUCGGCCACACUGGAACUGAGACACGGUCCAGACUCCUACGGGAGGCAGCAGUAGGGAAUCUUCCGCAAUGGGCGAAAGCCUGACGGAGCAACGCCGCGUGAGUGAUGAAGGUCUUCGGAUCGUAAAACUCUGUUAUUAGGGAAGAACAAACGUGUAAGUAACUGUGCACGUCUUGACGGUACCUAAUCAGAAAGCCACGGCUAACUACGUGCCAGCAGCCGCGGUAAUACGUAGGUGGCAAGCGUUAUCCGGAAUUAUUGGGCGUAAAGCGCGCGUAGGCGGUUUUUUAAGUCUGAUGUGAAAGCCCACGGCUCAACCGUGGAGGGUCAUUGGAAACUGGAAAACUUGAGUGCAGAAGAGGAAAGUGGAAUUCCAUGUGUAGCGGUGAAAUGCGCAGAGAUAUGGAGGAACACCAGUGGCGAAGGCGACUUUCUGGUCUGUAACUGACGCUGAUGUGCGAAAGCGUGGGGAUCAAACAGGAUUAGAUACCCUGGUAGUCCACGCCGUAAACGAUGAGUGCUAAGUGUUAGGGGGUUUCCGCCCCUUAGUGCUGCAGCUAA
This 647-nucleotide ribosomal RNA is filed under the name Staphylococcus sp. Its description in RNAcentral is "bacterial SSU rRNA". It matches the Rfam family "Bacterial small subunit ribosomal RNA", at positions 217 to 855 of the family's 1533-position model. The record is from RNAcentral. Lineage: Bacteria; Bacillati; Bacillota; Bacilli; Caryophanales; Staphylococcaceae.